Molecule: long non-coding RNA, 856 nt
Organism: Daktulosphaira vitifoliae (grape phylloxera)
Lineage: Eukaryota; Metazoa; Arthropoda; Insecta; Hemiptera; Phylloxeridae
Exons: 4
Source: RefSeq, a predicted model, not a curated record
UGUUUAUAAUUUCAUUGAGCUUGGAUUCUUGUUGUUCGGCCGCCGAUCAGAUGUAGCGCCACUUGCGUACCACCGGCCAACGCGAUCUGAAUUGUUGCGCGUCGUGGUGUACGGCGAGUCUGGUUUUGGCGCUUAUGCUAAUGGGAACGAUCCUAAGACGGACAGUGGAGCGCUUCAAUUUGAGAGUCCACAGCUACGUUCCGUGAUCGCCGGUUCAAUAGCCAAAAAGAAAUUUUGGAUGCUCAACCAUUGCUGUGAAGAACGUGUCUGGUCCUUGUAUACGGGUGAACGAAGUGGCCAGCUUGCACAUACAAAAUUUAAAUAUAAAAUUGUCCAGUAACGGCGAAGAUACUGGGUGCCCCGACCAAGAGGUGUUUUCGAGUCUGUGGUAUAUCAACGUGGUCCAUACGUGUUUGAUGCAAUAUUUCACUGUUAACUUAAUCUGUUGUGAGCAUUAUAAUCCGACAUGACAGAUUUUCAAUGAUUUUCAUUUGGAAUCCUCAACAAUGUAUGAAAAAACUGAGAUGUCAGUUAAGUGGCUUAGUUAUGGGGGGGAGGGAGAUGGGGAUUGAUACCUUAGAAGAAAUUUAUUUACACGGUAAAGAUAUAAUUUUCUUGGUUUGCAGUGUUAUAAUACAUUCACCACCCAUUAUUCAGUAGUCUAUAAAUUAUGGUCUAUUAGUCAUCAAAUUUAAUAUAAAAUAUUCAUGUCAAUCCUUUAAACUAUACCGAGAAAUAUGUCUAAAAAUGCAUUACUACAAAUCUAAUGUAAUCUUAUUAUAUAAUAAAACAAGGAAAAAAACGCUUUUCUGAAAAAAUUACUUAGCGUGCUCGGAUUUUCAAAAUAACUAUAAGA